Molecule: ribosomal RNA, 1758 nt
Filed under: Triticum aestivum (bread wheat)
Lineage: Eukaryota; Viridiplantae; Streptophyta; Magnoliopsida; Poales; Poaceae
Description: partial small subunit ribosomal RNA
Source: RNAcentral
AUGGCCAUGGCCACCUUCGCUGCCACUCCCGCGCUCCUCUCCACCCCGCCCCUCAACCCCCCAGCCCCUCCAGUCCGGCCGCACCCGCCCCGCGCCUCUCCCCGCCUCCGCCUCCGCCUCCGAAUCCCGCGCCGCCGCCCCGUCACCGCCCCCGCAGCCGCCCACGCCGCCAGCUCCCUCUCCUCCGCCCGCGGCGACCCGCGCGAGGCGGAGGCGGCGGUGGCCGAGCUGCUGCGGGACCACGGCGCGUCGCCGGAGGACGCGGCCGCCAUCGCGGCGCGCGCGCCGGGGUACGCCGCCAUGCUGGCCGACGGCGUCAGGGAGCUGGACGAGCUCGGGCUCUGGGCGUCCUGGAGCGCCGGGGCGGGCGCGCGCGCCGGCGCCGAGAUGGGCGCGCUCGGGUUCGGCAGGAAGGUGUACUUCAUGGGGCGGAGCCGGCGCGACGGCGCCGUCGUCCCGCUCGUCGAGAGCCUCGGCGUGCGCCUCUCCUCCGCCAAGCUCAUUGCGCCCUACGUCGCCGCCGAGGGCCUCCCCGUGCUCAUCCGCAGGGCUAAGUUCUUGAAGGAAAUGCUGUUUUCAAGCAGUGGCUAUGAAACUCUAAUCGGACGGAAUGCUAAGCGCAUGAUGGCGCACUUGUCAAUACCCGCAGAUGAGGCACUCCAGAGUACGCUGUCAUUUUUUGAAAAAAUGGAGGCCAGACAUGGUGGUCUGAGCAUGUUGGCACAUGGGGAUGUGUCAUUUCCAUAUCUCAUCGAAUCAUUUCCAAUGCUUCUUCGAUGCUCAGAGGAGAAUCAUCUUAAGCCAUUAAUUGAUUUCCUCAAACACAUUGGAAUUCCCAAGCCAAGGAUUCCAUCAGUUCUGCUGGCAUUUCCUCCUAUUAUGCUUUCUGACGUCGAAAAGGAUAUCAAGCGAAGGAUUCAUGCCUGGGAGAAGGCUGGCAUAGAACAAGAAUAUAUUGGUCGGAUGUUGUUGAAGUAUCCAUGGAUUCUUUCAGCAAGUGUGAUAGAAAACUACAAGCAGGCGCUUUUGUUCUUCAACAGAAGAAAGAUUUCCAGUGCAUUUCUUGGUACCGCUGUCAAAAGUUGGCCUCACAUUCUGGGUUGUUCAACAACAAGAAUGAACUCAAUUCUGGUGCUGUUUGAUGAUCUGGGCAUCAGUAAGAAAAUGGUAGUUCCUGUUCUUACAUCAAGUCCACAGUUGCUGCUGAGAAAAGCUAACGAGUUUUUGCAGGUUGUUUCCUUUUUUGAAGAUAUGGGUUUCGAUAAGAAAGCAGUGGGAAAGAUUGUCUGUCGUUCUCCAGAAAUUUUUGCUUCAGAUGUGGAGAAUACCCUCAAAAAGAAAAUCGACUUUCUUAUUGACUUUGGUAUUUCCGAGCGUCACCUUCCUCGUAUCAUUAAGAAGUACCCAGAGCUUUUAUUGUUGGACAUAAAUCGCACACUGCUCCCCAGAAUGAAUUACUUUCUGGGGAAGGGCUUGUCUAAGAAAGAUGUCUGCUCAAUGAUCUCUAGAUUCUCCCCACUUCUGGGGUACAGUAUUGAGCAUGUUCUGAAACCAAAGCUUGAUUUUCUAUUGCAAACCAUGAAGAAACCACUUAAAGCGGUUGUGGAAUAUCCAAGGUACUUCAGCUAUUCUCUUGAGGGGAGGAUAAAGCCACGGUUUUGGAUAAUAAAGAGUAGAAACAUAGACUGCAGUCUGACAGACAUGCUUGCCAAAAACAAUGAGCUUUUUGCUGAAGAGUACCUUGGAAUAGAAACAUGA